This 486-nucleotide ribosomal RNA is filed under the name uncultured bacterium. RNAcentral describes it as "bacterial SSU rRNA". It matches the Rfam family "Bacterial small subunit ribosomal RNA", at positions 28 to 517 of the family's 1533-position model. The record is from RNAcentral.
GAUGAACGCUGGCGGCGUGCCUAACACAUUCAAGUCGAACGGAGUUGAAUUUCUUAAUCUUCGGAAGCGGAGAUUCAACUUAGUGGCGGACGGGUGAGUAACGCGUGAGCAACCUGCCUCUGUGUGGGGGAUAACGACUGGAAACGGUCGCUAAUACCGCAUAAUGUGACGAGACUGCAUGAUCUUGUCACCAAAGAUUUAUUGCGCAGAGAUGGGCUCGCGUCUGAUUAGAUAGUUGGUGGGGUAACGGCUCACCAAGUCGACGAUCAGUAGCCGGACUGAGAGGUUGAACGGCCACAUUGGAACUGAGAAACGGCCCAGACUCCUACGGGAGGCAGCAGUGAGGAAUAUUGGGCAAUGGGCGCAAGCCUGACCCAGCAAUGCCGCGUGAAGGAUGAAGGUUUUCGGAUUGUAAACUUCUUUUGUCAAGGACGAUAAUGACGGUACUUGACGAAUAAGCCACGGCUAACUACGUGCCAGCAGCCG